This 425-nucleotide ribosomal RNA is filed under the name uncultured bacterium. Its description in RNAcentral is "partial 16S ribosomal RNA". It matches the Rfam family "Bacterial small subunit ribosomal RNA", at positions 354 to 796 of the family's 1533-position model. The record is from RNAcentral.
GUGGGGAAUAUUGGGCAAUGGGGGAAACCCUGACCCAGCAACGCCGCGUGAAGGAAGAAGGUUUUCGGAUCGUAAACUUCUAUCCUUGGUGAAGAUAAUGACGGUAGCCAAGAAGGAAGCCCCGGCUAACUACGUGCCAGCAGCCGCGGUAAUACGUAGGGGGCAAGCGUUGUCCGGAAUGAUUGGGCGUAAAGGGCGCGUAGGCGGCCCGGUAAGUCUGAAGUGAAAGUCCUGCUUUUAAGGUGGGAAUUGCUUUGGAUACUGUCGGGCUUGAGUGAAGGAGAGGUAAGCGGAAUUCCCGGUGUAGCGGUGAAAUGCGUAGAGAUCGGGAGGAACACCAGUGGCGAAGGCGGCUUACUGGACUGUAACUGACGCUGAGGCGCGAAAGUGUGGGGAGCAAACAGGAUUAGAUACCCGGGUAGUCC